CAGUGACCACACAGCCGGUCACAAUUUAAGGUGUAAUGGGAAAAUCUGAACAAGAAGCUGAGUCACCAGAAUGUGGUUGUAACUGCUGCACCUUAUAAAUUGGAACAGGAAAAUUCAAACAAGAAGCUGGUGAAAAAGAAGCAUUUGAAAUGCAUGGAUAGAGAUAAGGAGGUCGCUGCCGCUGGACAGCAUGGCCUGGGAGAGCCGCCUGAGCCCAGAGAGAUGGCUGCUCUCCAGCCCUUGUUCUAGCAGGAUGGAGAGAGAAAAAAGAAGAGGGAAAAAAAACAUGCUAGCAUCUGAUGAAGUGGAAAACAAAGGUCUUGUCUGGACUCUUCUUACUGAGAAACAAGAGAGGCUACUCGGGCCAUUGUGUGAAUGAAUACGAAACAGAAAGAAGAAUGUGCAAGCCAAACUGGGAAAGUAAACAAGAGGAAAAAAGAGAGAGAGAGAGAGGGAGCGUUUUCUGGGACUUCUGACGAGAGAAACAUUUUUCAAUGUGUAUCGCAGCAUGGGAGUGAGUACAUGAGACAGAUUCUUUAGCACACAAUUAAGAGCUGCUAAAAUAUGGCAACAGCUCGCCUCCUCUUGUCAUCCUGGUAUAAUUAGAUUUUCACCUGCUGUUGGGACCAAAAAAAAGAAGGAGAAGAAGGAGAAGAAGAGGCUUGAUUCAUUGGACAACACAAAGAGGCACCUGACGCAGCAGCUCGCGGAUCCAUCCUGCUUCCCCCAGCAUGGCAAGAGUUUGAGAGUUAAAUUGAAAACGCUGGUGAAGGCUCGCCUGGAUGAGUUGCACAGUCUGCUUAGCACAUCAGCGUGGAAACAGAUGCUGCUUUGGGACAAUGUUGCUGUCAACAUGAGAAAACACAGGCAGAUGUACGUAAACUGUUAAUAUAGCACCAACUUAAUGCAAUGAUAACGCUGGGGAGAUGAUGUACACCCAAAGCAAUGAAACACCAGUCAGGGCUCAAAUGACACCUCUCCGACUGCUGGAAAAGCGAUCGCUGCGAAUGUGGAGUCAGGCCAUUUGAGGUGAUCUCAUAUGUCAGAAUGACAGGCUGAUAAUAAGUGGUACUAAUUUCUAAUGAGGAAUUAGCAACACAGCCAAUGAAGUCAAUGGGGCCACAUUUAAUAAUCACUGCAAACUAGCACUGUCGGCCAAUUUCUUUUUGUCUACAAGCGCACAGGAAGAAUUACGUUAUUGUCUAUUGACAAUCUGCGCUGUUGAGAAGGAACAGUAGUGAUGCCAAAAGCUCUGCAACUAGCAGCCAAGUCCACAGCAGCAGACAAUCUGGGCCCGCUGGAUUUAAGUGGAUACAUAUUCUACAUAAGUCGCAGCCUUUCCAAAAGAGCAUUAAGCUUAUUAAUCCUCCACACACACUCUCUUCAGGCUUGUCAAAUCCCAUUCAAACGGCACAGGAAACAAACGUGUAAACACAUCCAGUGUAGUGUGAAGGCUGUCAAACUCAAUGCAUGACUUCAGCUGCAGCCAGAGCUUAACGGGGAAACAGAAGCCGAGCCGCAGCAGGUUUUCGGUUGCUGCGUGGCCGGCUGUGGAACGCGAACUCUCUUGUGCACCCCUUGGAAACAUAAGAGCGCAUGCAAAAGUGGGCCAUUAAUGAUUCAUGCCUGCUUCAAUAAUCAUCUGACUGCAACUGUGGAGAGAGUCCCCGAUGAAAACAUCAACAACCGCAUCUCUUGUCAACGCCUAAUGAUGGAAUUAAAUGUGGGCAGGGUGUUUGAUAACACCAUCAGUCAUUCAUAAAGGCAGAGCCAGAAAUGCAAAUCAUAAACACACACGCACCAGCGUUCGGUCAAUGGGCAGCUAACCUACGCUUGGAUCGAAGCUUCAAUUGUAGGACGUGCCUGCCAAGCCCAUGCUGAGGGCCGGCAGUGUGCAUGGCCUGCUUAUUAUCAUGCGGAGCUCCUUUCUGAAGAACACCACUCUCCCUCAUGCCCUCAAAGCAUCAGGAUUAACAAGUCGGGGAGUCGAGGAAAGCUGAUAUUUUUCCUCGCUCCUUGCUAUUGUGAAAACUAUUCAAACGGUCAUUAUUAAAUCUAGGUCAAGCUCCUUAAAUGGAAAAAGCAAGGCCGUGAAGUGUGUGUUGGUGAGCUGCUGUGUGUUGAUGGACCUCACCCCUGGGCCAACUUGACAUCCAUUAUGUAAACAUUAAUGUUAGGGCCGGCUAGGCGAGCCAUGUUACGCGUGCUAUAAAACAAAAACCACGGUGCAGCCAGGCCACUUUUAAACACCACAUUGCACUGCUGAUGGAGGUCAUAUCAGGCCAGCAGCAGUUUCAAAACAAAGAGGAAACGAGAAGAGCAGCGGAGCAUGACAUUCAGCCUAAGAUUUUUCUAAAGUUCAAAACCAAGUCCUAGUUGGCUCCUCAGCUCUUUCAAACAGGUCAAACAACAUUACAAGCAACCUCAGGGUAGUCAAAAAAGCAACCCAUUACCAGUAGUACCUCUCAAACUGUCAUGGGAUUACUUUACUGUCUGAAAACCACACAAAUAUAGUUUAUUCUCUGAUUCUUGCAACUAAAAUUCAGAGAAAAUGCAAAGUAAAACUUUUUGAAAUUUUAAUAGUAAGUUAACAGGACAAUAAUCUACUUUUGACAUUAUGCUAUUAUUUGAAGUUGAAUAAAGUCAAAAUUAUAUGGGUCACUUACUUUCUGAAGUUAAAACACUGAAGCAUUUUUAACAGUGUAGGCCCUUUUACUUCAUAUUCCACAUCUGAAAUAUGAAACCUGAGUGUACUAUUAGAUUCUGAGCUCUGUUGAAUCCCUAAAGUAACUUUUUAUCUUUUGAGAAAUAUUGCUGAAGUUGAACCUUUUCGAUCCCUGAGCGAUGAUUGUCAUUUGUUACAAGCAGAGCUGAUUACUGUAAUGCUCUUUUUACUGGACUUCCUCAGAAAUCAAUACAUCUUCUACAACUCAAACACAAUGCAGCAGCACAGAUCCUAUCAAAAACAAAAAAAGAGGACAUUUCAAACCUGUUCUGAAAGAACUGCGCUGGCUGCCUAAGCAUAGAUUUUGAAGUUCUUUUACUAGUUUUUAAAUGUCUAAACAGCAUUAAAUGAACCUGUUUACCUGCAUCCCGCCUGUCUGUUUACCUUCCAACACAUGAUCUUAGAUCUGCAGGUCCUGGCCUAUUGUGAACACCUGUUUCUGGAGAUUUCACCUUUUAUUAGGCAGUCUAGCAAAAGUUCACAAUUAAGAGAUAUUUGAAAACGACUCUAAUUUAGCUUUUAGUUAAAAUUCUCUCUCUAUUUUUGUAGUUAAGUCUUUCCGUUAUUGCUUACUUUUUAUAGACUUCCAUUUAUAUAUUUAUUUUUU
Long non-coding RNA from Pygocentrus nattereri (red-bellied piranha), 3332 nucleotides. RefSeq lists it as uncharacterized. The record is from RefSeq and is a predicted model, not a curated record. The transcript is spliced from 3 exons. NCBI's taxonomy places the organism in Eukaryota, Metazoa, Chordata, Actinopteri, Characiformes, Serrasalmidae.